GGUUCGCGAUCCUCCUCUCUGGCUCCGGGCUGCGCACAGUGUCUGGGUGGCGAGCGAAUGGUGCCUGCGAUCUUCUGCCUCGGGGACCCGGCUGUCUUCCUUGUGCUAAAAAAACCGAGGAGGUCUGUCUGCCACGGGGCCGAGGGUGGUGUCCCCUCUCCUUGAGUGACUCUGGUUCCUCCUUUGGAUCUCAGCUCAUAGCUCCUGACCUCAAGCAAGUGCUACUGAAGUGGAAAUGUCUUAAAUCCUGUUUUGUGAUUUCCCCGCCUCAGAGCU
Molecule: long non-coding RNA, 276 nt
Filed under: Mus pahari (shrew mouse)
Lineage: Eukaryota; Metazoa; Chordata; Mammalia; Rodentia; Muridae
Description: lncRNA (MGP_PahariEiJ_G0003167.1)
Source: RNAcentral